RNAcentral lists this long non-coding RNA (3143 nucleotides) under Sus scrofa (pig). Its description in RNAcentral is "lncRNA (ENSSSCG00025067781.1)". The record is from RNAcentral. Lineage: Eukaryota; Metazoa; Chordata; Mammalia; Artiodactyla; Suidae.
CACCACAAGCUGCUAUAGAAUAGGACAUUGGUAAAGCACUCAGUAAAUAUGUGUUGAGUAAAUGAUGAAUGGAAUUAGAAGCAAUGUUUCCUUUAUUUAAAGAUGCUUUUUCUCCCUGUUCUUUGUUAUGUUACUUUUCAAAAUGAAUACUUUCCAUUCUCAAGAAACCUCUUAAUAGCAAGCGGGUAUUCUCUAGUACAACUGGUAUACGUGUAACACUUGAAUAUAUGGCAGCUGUAUUUAUUAACCUCGAUUUAAUGCUUUCGUUACUACGAUACCAUGUAACAUGAUUUUAUACUCUGCUACAAUAUAUUAUUUGAUUAAAUAAUAUCAAAUCUGAUAAAAAUUGCUUAUAAAGAGGUGUCUUAGUUUUCCAUUUUCGACGUAACAAACUACCAUAAAUAUAUUGGCUUAAAACAAUAUAAAUGUAUUAUCUAGCAGUUUUGGAGGUCAGAUGUCUGACACAGGCCUCACUGGGCUAAAAUCAUGGAGUUAGAAGGGUUAGUUCCAUCUGGAGGCUCUAGAGUGGACACUAUUUUCUUACCUUUCUAGCUAUAGUGACCACCUGCCUUCCUUAUUAGUUCAUGGCCCCAUUUUGCCCUCACAACCAGCAAGAUGGCAUCUCUGACCCAGCCAGGAAAAAUUCUCUACUUUUAACGACUCAUGAGAUUCAAUUUGGUCCACGCAGAUAAUCUCCCCAUCUCAAGCUCCUUAACCUUAAUCACAUCUGCAGAGUCCCUUUUGCCAUAUAAGGAUCAUAUGUGUAGCUUAGGGUUUUGGAUAUCUGGGGAGUGGAAGCUUCAUCCAUUCUACCGCAGAAGGAAAGAAAACAUUGCUAUCUUUCAUCCUUGUCUCUGCUGACCUCAAAGACUAAUGGUCUUAUUUUUUUCUUCCCUUUCAAAACAACUUUCUUAAAACUAUGAUCACUAUCUGUUCCUUCCACUUUUCACUUCACUCUCAUUCUUUGAUCUGUUGCAAUUAAUAUAACUUCAAAUUCCAACAACAUACGGAAAAUGUUCUCUCCAGACCGCACAUGGACUACCUAAUCACUAUACCUGUUGAUCUUUUUCCUCUCUGUUUCACAGUAUGCCUGGAAAACUAGUAGGAAGAUACAUAGUUCUAAAACAUCCAGGUAGGAUAGAGACCCAUGGCCAGUUCAGAGUGUAGAACUCAGCUGAUACCCCAACAGAUGUAACUUGCCUCCUGGCCUCUUAGUGACCCACUCCUCCACUCAUGUACAAUUGUGGCUUACUUUCCUGAUCAUUCAUUUUUCUUCCCCGGGGUUGGAAUUCUCUAUCUUUCUAAUCUUCCUUCUGAAGUUUGGCUUUUGUUGCACCAUGCUUUCUCUGUGACACCCACUCAUCUAAUUGCUUUAAUAUAAAAAUAUCAGAGGAAUAAUUCUGGAAACAACAGCUUUUCCUAAAGUUACCUGAGCUUCUCCCUAGCAGGUCAGUCUGACCCACACAGAGUGCCCCAAACAAAAGCUGCCAGGCACUGCUCUGAAGAGGUUUGCUGCUACCCGGCAGUUUUGGAUGCCGGCCCAGCUCUGAGUAAGGGAGACCUCUGGUGGACAUAACUCAUCUUUUCUUUUGUGCAUUAUUGCAGUUUUGCUGUGUGCAUUUAAAUUGUGUUUAAAUUGUGGUGAGGUAUACAGAGUACAGUUCACUAGUGUUAAGUACAUUCACAUUGCUAAAUAAUAUUCAAUUUUAUGAAUGUACCAAAUUUUCUUUAUCCAUCCUCCUGUUAAUCAACACUUGAGUUGCUUCUACCUUUUAGGUAUUGUGAAUGAUGCUUCUAUGAAUGUGGAAAACAUCUUUUUGAGACCCUGCUUUCAAUUUGUUGUGCAUAUACCUAGAAGUGGAAUUGGUAGAUCAUGUGGUUAUUCUAUUUUUAAUAUUUUGAGCAACUGCCAUACUUUUUUCCAUAGUGGCUGUACAAUUUUACAUUCCCGCUUAUAAUUCACAAAGGUUUCAGUUUCUCCACAUCCUCACCAUCACUUGUAUUUUCAGUAGUAGCCGUCCUAAUAGAUAUAAGGUGGUGUCUCAUUGUGGUUUUGUUGUUGCUAUGGUUUUCAUUGUGUUGGUGUUGUUUAUUGAUCACUAACCAUGUGGUGGACAUUGUGUAAAGUGCUUUACAUUAACUAGCUUAUAUAACCCUUACUACAAUCAUAUGAGUUUAUGACUUAGGCAUUAUUUUUCCCAACUCACUGUUGAUGAAAUGGAGGCUUAGAGAAUUUAAGUGAUUUUCCUGGGAUACAGGUGGUAGAACUGGGAUUUGAACUCAGGUCUGUUUGUCUGAGAUGCAUACUUCGAAUGGUGAUACUCCCUCAGAUCCUAUACGACUAGUUUAUGUGAGGUUUCUGUUGUAUUCACUUAUAAAGUUCUUGAAAUCAUCUCUACUUUUUAUUCCUGUCGCCAGAAACUCUGUCUAUUGCUCCCAGAACUGAUGCACUGAUGAAAAGCAGGCCAAAUUCCUCGCAUAUUGUGGAUCAACACCUCUGGAUUCUGUUUUUCCUCUUCAAUCAUUGAACAUAUAUGUAUUCAGCGUUUAUAUGAUAUGCUACUUCUGGUGCUGAGAACACAGCAGCAUGGACAGAAGAGCUCAUUGUUUUCAUGAACUUUUUCUUCCCAGAUUUACUGAGCUAUGUUGACAACUAAAAGUUGUAUACAUUUAGGAUGUACAGUAUGAUGUUUUGAGAUCUAUAUAUGUAAGUGAUCACCACAUUUAAGCAUAUUAAUAUAUCUAUAACUUCAUGUAGUUGCUGUUUUUCUUUUUCAUGUUGAGAACACUCUAGAUCUACUUUUAGCAAAUUUCAAGUAUAUAAACAUUAUUACUAACUAUAGUCACCAUACUAUACAUUAGGUCUCUAGAACUGAUUCAUUUUAUAACUUGAAAGUUUGUACCUUUUGACCUCUUCCAAUCCUGGUAACCACCAUUCUCCUCCCUGUUACUAUAAAUUUGACUUUCUAAAAUUUCAUAUAUGAGUGAGAUCAUGGAGUUUUUGUCUUCCUAUGUUUGGCUCAUUUCACUUGGCAUGAUAUCCUCCAGAUUCAUCUAUGUCACAAAUGUCAGGAUUUCUUUCCUUUUUAAAGCUGAAUAAUGUAAGCUAGAUAAUGACAUGUUUCUCUGUCCAGUAACGCUGU